Molecule: RNase P RNA, 339 nt
Filed under: chicken gut metagenome
Description: Bacterial RNase P class A
Rfam family: Bacterial RNase P class A
About the family: Ribonuclease P (RNase P) is a ubiquitous endoribonuclease, found in archaea, bacteria and eukarya as well as chloroplasts and mitochondria. Its best characterised activity is the generation of mature 5'-ends of tRNAs by cleaving the 5'-leader elements of precursor-tRNAs.
Source: RNAcentral
GUUAGCCAGAUGACCGCAGUGUAACUGUUAUGGUUACAAUGAGGAAAGUCCGAGCCUUAUAGAACAGGGUGCCAGUUAAUUGCUGGUGAAGGCGACUUUAAGGAAAGUGCAACAGAAAAUAUACCGCCCACAUAAUCGUGAGUAAGGUUGAAAUGGAGGUGUAAGAGACCACCGGCUGUUUGGUAACAAAUAGCGCAUUGUAAACCCCACCCAAGGCAAGGUUAAAAAAGACACAUAUGUUGUUCGCAUCGUCUUUUAAAAAUACCGCUUGAUUGCAAUGGAGACAUUGCAACUAGAUAGAUGGUCAUCAAAUACAGAACUCGGCUUAUAGACUAACUA